UGAUUCGGUACAUGCCGGUUUACAAUUCCGAAUACUAAGUCAUUUUAAUACCAAAUCAAAAGGGUUGUUUUAUUAGCACCCCACAUUGUUGAAUACAUCACACGUACUUAAAACACCCCACACUUACUUUUUAAACUUAAAUAUAUCUUAAUACACCCCACUUACUAACCAAAACUACCCUCACACCCCACACCAAAAUCUACCUCAAGUCUUCAUCUUGUCCAAAAAAUAAAUUUAAACCCUUUGCCUUUAGCACACAAACAGUGCGCAUGGUUCUGCUGCUUCAAGAUUUUUGUCAAUUUAGGGGAAUUAGGCUUUAGAUGUGAAUUUGAUUUUAAACUCAGAAAUGGCUACUUUGCUGGCUUUUCUGAAAUAAAAAAAUCAUGAAAGGACUAGUUGAUUGUGCUAUUGCUGUGUCCGUGCA
This 424-nucleotide long non-coding RNA is filed under the name Malus domestica (apple). RNAcentral's name for it is "long non-coding RNA (MDOM_LNC000943)". The record is from RNAcentral. Lineage: Eukaryota; Viridiplantae; Streptophyta; Magnoliopsida; Rosales; Rosaceae.